RNAcentral lists this ribosomal RNA (397 nucleotides) under uncultured bacterium. RNAcentral describes it as "partial 16S ribosomal RNA". It matches the Rfam family "Bacterial small subunit ribosomal RNA", at positions 523 to 918 of the family's 1533-position model. The record is from RNAcentral.
AUACGUAGGGGGCGAGCGUUGUCCGGAAUGAUUGGGCGUAAAGGGCGCGUAGGCGGCCGCUUAAGUCUGGAGUGAAAGUCCUGUUUUCAAGAUGGGAAUUGCUUUGGAUACUGGGGGGCUUGAGUGCAGGAGAGGUUAUCGGAAUUCCCGGUGUAGCGGUGAAAUGCGUAGAGAUCGGGAGGAACACCAGUGGCGAAGGCGGGUAACUGGACUGCAACUGACGCUGAGGCGCGAAAGUGUGGGGAGCAAACAGGAUUAGAUACCCUGGUAGUCCACACUGUAAACGAUGAAUGCUAGGUGUAAGAGGUAUCGACCCCUUUUGUGCCGGAGUCAACACAAUAAGCAUUCCGCCUGGGGAGUACGGCCGCAAGGUUGAAACUCAAAUGAAUCGACGGGG